CUCCAGUGUAGAAUUUCUUUCUCCAGCUGCUGCGCGAUGAUGCCCUGUUUCUGAUAUUAGGUGAAUGGCCUGAAAAUGAGAUGGGUGGAUAGGAGGAGGGGCUCAAAAAACAUCCAUAGCCGAUAGGCGAGCCCAACAAUGCAAUCUGACCAAGUUUAUAAACAUUUAUUACAAGUGUUUCCUUCUUUAUUUUGGUUUGUAUAUUUGUUAAAAAGUUUUUGAUUGCUGGUUUACAAAAAUAAAGUGAUGCAUGUCCCUUUAAGAAAGGUCAUUUAGCAUACAAUUCAGAACCUCAAGGAUGCAAGACAAGAUG
Molecule: non-coding RNA, 313 nt
Organism: Pelobates cultripes (western spadefoot toad)
Lineage: Eukaryota; Metazoa; Chordata; Amphibia; Anura; Pelobatidae
Source: the annotation of a GenBank genome assembly